This 257-nucleotide ribosomal RNA is filed under the name Vibrio parahaemolyticus. RNAcentral describes it as "partial 23S ribosomal RNA". It matches the Rfam family "Bacterial large subunit ribosomal RNA", at positions 1419 to 1676 of the family's 2925-position model. The record is from RNAcentral. Lineage: Bacteria; Pseudomonadati; Pseudomonadota; Gammaproteobacteria; Vibrionales; Vibrionaceae.
UGGGAAACGGGUUAAUAUUCCCGUACUUCUUACAAUUGCGAUGGGGGGACGGAGAAGGCUAGGUGGGCCUGGCGACGGUUGUCCAGGUUCAAGUGCGUAGGCUUAAGAGUUAGGUAAAUCCGGCUCUUUCUAAGGCUGAGACACGACGUCGAGCACCUACGGGUGUGAAGUCAUUGAUGCCAUGCUUCCAGGAAAAGCCUCUAAGCUUCAGAUUGUAAGGAAUCGUACCCCAAACCGACACAGGUGGUCGGGUAGAG